GCAACAAAUAAAACAACAAACAAAGAUAAAAGAUGCAAGUAGAUGGA
Molecule: non-coding RNA, 47 nt
Filed under: Trypanosoma vivax
Lineage: Eukaryota; Euglenozoa; Kinetoplastea; Trypanosomatida; Trypanosomatidae
Source: RNAcentral